CUACUACCGAUUGAAUGGUUUAGUGAGGACUCCUGAUUGGCGCCGCCGCCCCGGCAACGGAGCAGCGGACUGCCGAAAAGUUGUUCAAACUUGAUCAUUUAGAGAAAGUAAAAGUCGUAACAAGGUUUCCGUAGGUGAACCUGCAGAAGGAUCAAGAUCGGAAGAGCGUCUUGGAGGGUAAGACUUUAGAUCUCGUUGGUUGCCGUCUCCUUAAAAUAUACACUUUCGUUUCUUUUAUAUUCCCUUCUUUUCUCUUCACUCUCCUACUCCUCUUUUU
Molecule: unclassified non-coding RNA, 277 nt
Filed under: sea anemone metagenome
Description: partial contains small subunit ribosomal RNA and internal transcribed spacer 1
Rfam family: Eukaryotic small subunit ribosomal RNA (bases 1-157)
Source: RNAcentral